GACCAAAAGAUUAAGUUAUAUAAUUAGGUAAAAAGAUAGUUAAGUGUUAUAAAUAAGUUUAAUAAUUUUUUAUAGAAAGGUAAAAUUUGAAUAUAAAGAAAUGAUUUCAAGAAGGCUAUGAUGCUGAGGCUAUGAUAAUUUUGAGGGAAACUGGGAUUAGAUACCCCAUUAUUCAUAAUUGUAAAUUGACUAUAAUUUACCGGAGUACUAUGAAUAAAUAAAUUUAAAACUCAAAGGGCUUGGCGGUAUUUUAGACCAAUUAGGGGAACCUGUCUCAUAAUCGACAAUCCACGUUAUACCUAACCUUUAUUGAGUGAACAGUUUGUAUACCGUCGUCGUCAGGUAACUUUUAAAAAUUAAGAAGUUGGCAGAAAUAAUAUUUAUUAAUUAAGACGUCAGAUCAAGGUGCAGCUUAUAUAAAGGGGAGGAUGGGUUACAAUUGUGAAAUAAUAAUUACGAAUAUUUUGAUGUAAAGAAUUUUGAAGGAGGACUUAAAAGUAAUUUUGUAAUAUAUAAAUAAUUUGAAUUAGGCUCUGAAACGUGC
Molecule: ribosomal RNA, 544 nt
Filed under: Mitrella alofa
Lineage: Eukaryota; Metazoa; Mollusca; Gastropoda; Neogastropoda; Columbellidae
Description: partial small subunit ribosomal RNA
Source: RNAcentral